UCCUCUGGCUUCACCCUAUUCAAGCAUAGUUCACCAUCUUUCGGGUCCCAACAGCUAUGCUCUUACUCAAAUCCUUCCGAAGACAUCAGGAUCGGUCGAUGGUGCACCUAAAAGGUUCCCACCUCCGUUCACUUUCAUUACGCGUCUGGGCUUGACACCCAAACACUCGCAUAGAUGUUAGACUCCUUGGUCCGUGUUUCAAGACGGGCCGCUUACAGCCAUUACGCCAGCAUCCUAGCAGAUGCGCGGACCUCAGUCCAGGCUGGUUGCAUGUCGUCUCCCCUAUAAGGCCUCCCCGAAAGGAGGUACGUGACAGAGACCUUUAUCCAACCGCCCAAACUGAUGCUGGCCUGCCUAUAGAAGAGUGCACCAGACAAAAGUCUGGAUAAGCAACUACAGGCAAGUCUGGCUGCAAGCGCUUCCCUUUCAACAAUUUCACGUGCUAUUUGACUCUCUUUCCAAAGUGCUUUUCAUCUUUCGAUCACUCUACUUGUGCGCUAUCGGUCUCUGGCCAGUAUUUAGCUUUAGAAGAAAUUUACCUCCCAUUUAGAGCUGCAUUCCCAAACAACUCGACUCGUCGAAGGGGCUUUACACGGCCAAGGCUAGCGACCACGUACGGGAUUCUCACCCUCUGUGACGUCCUGUUCCAAAGAACUUGGACCGCUGCCAACGCCAAAGCGCCCUCUGCAAAUUACAACUCGGGCUCUAAAAGAGCCAGA
RNAcentral lists this ribosomal RNA (719 nucleotides) under uncultured Ascomycota. RNAcentral's name for it is "partial 28S ribosomal RNA". Lineage: Eukaryota; Fungi; Ascomycota. The record is from RNAcentral.